CCGUGAGGGAAGGGUGAAAAGAACCCCCAUCGGGGAGUCCAAUGCCCCGAAAACCUAAGGGUUCCUCCGCAAG
This 73-nucleotide transfer RNA is filed under the name Monimopetalum chinense. RNAcentral's name for it is "tRNA-Ala". The record is from RNAcentral. Lineage: Eukaryota; Viridiplantae; Streptophyta; Magnoliopsida; Celastrales; Celastraceae.